UACGGCCAUAGAAUCCGGAAAACGCCCCAUCCCGUCAGCUUUGGGCAGCUAAGCUGGAUGUCGCUCAAUUAGUACCAAGCUGGGGGACCACUUGGGAACCCCGAGUGCUGUAGUU
Molecule: ribosomal RNA, 115 nt
Organism: Kwoniella shivajii
Lineage: Eukaryota; Fungi; Basidiomycota; Tremellomycetes; Tremellales; Cryptococcaceae
Source: RefSeq, a predicted model, not a curated record